Molecule: small nuclear RNA, 106 nt
Organism: Sorex araneus (European shrew)
Lineage: Eukaryota; Metazoa; Chordata; Mammalia; Eulipotyphla; Soricidae
Source: RefSeq, a predicted model, not a curated record
AUGCACACUUUGUAGGCAAAUAUUCUAAAUCUAGAAUGAUGCAGAGGAGAUUAGCAUGGCCCCUGUAUCAGGAUGAAGACAAAUUAGUGAACCUGAAAGUUUUCAU